UUAAAAAGCUCGUAGUUGGAUUUCUGUCCGAGGCAGCCGGUCCGCACCUGGUGCGUGUAUCUGGUUUGGCUAGGGCAUCCUCUUGGGGAACGUCUCUGUGCUUGAUUGCAUGGGGCGGAAUUCAAGACUUUUACUUUGAGGAAAUUAGAGUGUUCACGGCAAGCUAUCGCUUUGAAUACAUUAGCAUGGAAUAAUAAUAUAGGGCGUAAGUUCUAUUUUGUUGGUUUCUAGGACAUACGCAAUGAUUAAUAGGGACAAUUGGGGGCAUUCGUAUUAACGCGUCAGAGGUGGAAUUCUUAGAUUGCGUUACGACGAACUACUGCGAAAGCAUUUGCCAAGGAUGUUUUCAUUGAUCAAGAACGGAAGUAUGGGGAUCGAAGACGAUUAGAUACCGUCGUAGUCUAUACCAUAAACUAUGCCAAUUAAGAGAUUGGAGGUCGUUCGUUUUAUGACUCCUUCAGCACCUUAUGAGAAAUCAAAAUUUUUGGGUUCCGGGGGGAGUAUGGUCGCAAGGCUGAAACUUAAAGGAAUUGACGGAAGGGCCCCACCAGGAGUGGAGCCUGCGGCUUAAUUUGACU
This 578-nucleotide ribosomal RNA is filed under the name uncultured marine eukaryote. RNAcentral describes it as "SSU rRNA". It matches the Rfam family "Eukaryotic small subunit ribosomal RNA", at positions 619 to 1200 of the family's 1831-position model. The record is from RNAcentral.